RNAcentral lists this transfer RNA (63 nucleotides) under Eleutherocaulis alte. Its description in RNAcentral is "Laevicaulis alte tRNA-Ala". The record is from RNAcentral. Lineage: Eukaryota; Metazoa; Mollusca; Gastropoda; Systellommatophora; Veronicellidae.
GGGGGGAUACUUUAAAUAGAAGGUAUAGUUUGCAACUAUAAUGAGAAAAGUUGUUUCUCCUUU